AUUGAACGCUGGCGGCAUGCCUUACACAUGCAAGUCGAACGGCAGCACGGGCUUCGGUCUGGUGGCGAGUGGCGAACGGGUGAGUAAUAUAUCGGAACGUACCCAGAAGUGGGGGAUAACGUAGCGAAAGUUACGCUAAUACCGCAUACGAUCUACGGAUGAAAGUGGGGGAUCGCAAGACCUCAUGCUUUUGGAGCGGCCGAUAUCUGAUUAGCUAGUUGGUAGGGUAAAGGCCUACCAAGGCGACGAUCAGUAGCUGGUCUGAGAGGACGACCAGCCACACUGGAACUGAGACACGGUCCAAACUCCUACGGGAGGCAGCAGUGGGGAAUUUUGGACAAUGGGCGCAAGCCUGAUCCAGCAAUGCCGCGUGAGUGAAGAAGGCCUUCGGGUUGUAAAGCUCUUUUGUCAGGGAAGAAACGGCAGAGGCUAAUAUCCUUUGCUAAUGACGGUACCUGAAGAAUAAGCACCGGCUAACUACGUGCCAGCCGCCGCCUGUAA
Molecule: ribosomal RNA, 501 nt
Filed under: uncultured bacterium
Lineage: Bacteria
Description: partial 16S ribosomal RNA
Rfam family: Bacterial small subunit ribosomal RNA
Source: RNAcentral